This 253-nucleotide ribosomal RNA is filed under the name uncultured bacterium. RNAcentral's name for it is "partial 16S ribosomal RNA". It matches the Rfam family "Bacterial small subunit ribosomal RNA", at positions 524 to 776 of the family's 1533-position model. The record is from RNAcentral.
UACGUAGGUGACGAGCGUUGUCCGGAUUUACUGGGCGUCAAGAGCGCGCAGGCGGUCGUUCAAGUCGAGUGUGAAAGCCCCCGGCUCAACUGGGGAGGGUCACUCGAUACUGAUCGACUCGAAGGCAGGAGAGGGUAGUGGAAUUCCCGGUGUAGUGGUGAAAUGCGUAGAUAUCGGGAGGAACACCAGUGGCGAAGGCGACUACCUGGCCUGUUCUUGACGCUGAGGCGCGAAAGCUAGGGGAGCAAACGGG